UUAUUUUCUUAUCAUCUCCAUGAGCCAUAAAUCCCUAAUCCAACAUUUUUCAAAUCUCAAAAUUCUCUGCUAUGCAGAGCUUCUUACAGUAGCUAGCACCUCUCUCGAACCCCUUAUUAUUACUGUUCCCCCCGAACCACCAAACUGAAUUUCUUUGCUGCUCCUCAAUCUCCACCGAACCAAAGAACCAAUAUAUCACCGGAUCCAAAAUGAACAGACCUAACACUGAUGCUAACGCUACUGCUGUCUUUCUAACUCUACUGCUAACACACUACCAAACAAAAGGUACUCGAAACUAUUUUUUUAAUUAUUAGGAAUGUAGCUGGAGGCUGGAGCGACGACCACACGAAGGCUGUCGCCGGAAUCUUGGUGGUGGUUCCCUUCGUCCUCCAGUCGGCGGCGACCUCACUCAAGAACUGUGGCACAGUGCCUGCGAGGCAGCCCGACGCUUCUGGCUCGCAAGCAUGGCGUUGCUCCGACUAAUCAAGGCCCCUGCAGCGGAUGAUGGUAAACAUUAGCAAUUAUUUCAUUUCGGCACAGGGUACGCUUAGAACAGAACAAAGUCGCGGAGCACAUACUCGUACUCCACAGCCGCCUCGGCCUCCUGGAUCU
RNAcentral lists this long non-coding RNA (612 nucleotides) under Zea mays. RNAcentral's name for it is "long non-coding RNA (ZMAY_LNC004577)". Lineage: Eukaryota; Viridiplantae; Streptophyta; Magnoliopsida; Poales; Poaceae. The record is from RNAcentral.